Molecule: non-coding RNA, 859 nt
Organism: Meleagris gallopavo (turkey)
Lineage: Eukaryota; Metazoa; Chordata; Aves; Galliformes; Phasianidae
Source: RefSeq, a predicted model, not a curated record
UAUAAUUAAAACCUGACUUUUCCUUUUUUUUCCAAACAGAUGGGAAAAAUCAAAACAUUAAGUAGCUUCACUCUCACCACUGGGCUUUUUAGAAGCUCUAAGCUGCUGGAUGACAGCUAGGUUUUUGGCUGGAUUCUUCUCAUUGCGAUUGGUCCUUGUAGCUCCAAAGGCAUGAGAAGGAGGAGCUGCACAUCUCCCUUCAGCCUGCCCCACUUGUUUUCUCUUCUGCUCAGUUAGCAAGCUUCACUCAAAGUAGGUUAAUGUUUCCAAUGCACAGCAGGCUCCCAAACCAAAGCUUGAUCUUUGUUUUAAUGUUUUAAGCUGUCAGCAGUCAUCCAUUCAAGGCUCUGGGGACCUUGGACCUGGACACUGAUUGAAGACUCUGCCAUAACUGGGAUGCCUCCAACCAUCGGACUGCUGGUGGCAAAGAGAAAAGGCAUGCAGUGUGGAAGCAGCAGAUAACAAUGUCAACUGCAUGCCAGAAACACAAGUCUGGGAUGGAGAAACAGUUUCUAUGAUAUUAUAGCCAGAACACUGCACAACUGAGGAAUGCAUCCAGCAUGUGAUGAAGGAGUGAAUCUGAUCACGGGGAUGAAUAUAUACAGGUACUUACAAAAUGAUUUGCUCAUUCUCAGCUUUUCUCACUUUUGAUGUAAUAUUUUCCCAGAUACUCUUUUUAAUCUCAAAUUUUAGUCUUUAGAAAUAUUGUGUUUUCACUAAUAUUGUGAAUAUAACCAUUCUUCUUUUACAUAUUACUGUGCAUAGGAUGUGUACUAUAUCAGCGCAGUGCUUUCUUUUUUUUUUAAUGAUGUGGACUAUAUUGAAUAUUGAAAUAUUUGUCAUAGUUAGAUGAAUAAUA